This 520-nucleotide unclassified non-coding RNA is filed under the name Hevea brasiliensis (rubber tree). The record is from RNAcentral. Lineage: Eukaryota; Viridiplantae; Streptophyta; Magnoliopsida; Malpighiales; Euphorbiaceae.
AGUAGCAAUAAGAACAGCAACAACCGUGGUGGAGUUUAUGGCGUUGUUAAGACCUUCUGUGUGCAUUUUGUUCAGACGCUUCGCUAUGUUCUUCACUCUUUUCUGUGUUUGGAAAGUGUGCUCUAACUGAUUGUGAACGUCGUGUUUUAUGUCACUAACAGUUUGUUUCAGUUCUUUGGCUGAACGCGUUGGUAAUGCUAGCUUCAUGUUCUUUGCAGUCAGGACACCAUGCUCCUUUAGAAUCGCUGCUAUCUCUGAAUUUCGCGCUUUCUCAGCAACGUCAAGAGCAGUUUCACCAGAUUUAUUGAUGGCAUCCCACUUCAUUCGUUUGUCCUUUACGACUGCUUGAACGAUCUCUACACGGCCUUUACGCGUUGCAAUAUGCAGAGCAGUAUUACCCUUUCCAUCAAUAAUGGUAGCCAAAGUAGGAUCCGAUAGAAUAAGCUCGUUAACGACAUCAACACUUUGGCCUUUGACUGCCAUAUGAAGAGCUGUUUGUCCCUUCUUAUCUCUCCAAUUU